UUACGGCCAUAGCACGUUGAAACACCGGUUCUCGUACGUUCACCGAAGUUAAGUAACGUCGAACCUGGUGAGUACCUAGAUAGGCAACCCCUUUGAAGUACCAGGAGCUGUAAG
Molecule: non-coding RNA, 114 nt
Organism: Acanthosepion pharaonis
Lineage: Eukaryota; Metazoa; Mollusca; Cephalopoda; Sepiida; Sepiidae
Source: the annotation of a GenBank genome assembly